This 497-nucleotide ribosomal RNA is filed under the name uncultured bacterium. Its description in RNAcentral is "partial 16S ribosomal RNA". It matches the Rfam family "Bacterial small subunit ribosomal RNA", at positions 28 to 507 of the family's 1533-position model. The record is from RNAcentral.
GACGAACGCUGGCGGCGUGCCUAAUACAUGCAAGUUGAGCGAUGAAGCUUGGUGCUUGCACCAAUUUGAAGAGCAGCGAACGGGUGAGUAACGCGUGGGGAAUCUGCCUUUGAGCGGGGGACAACAUUUGGAAACGAAUGCUAAUACCGCAUAAUAACUUUAAACAUAAGUUUUAAGUUUGAAAGAUGCAAUUGCAUCACUCAAAGAUGAUCCCGCGUUGUAUUAGCUAGUUGGUGAGGUAAAGGCUCACCAAGGCGAGGAUACAUAGCCGACCGGAGAGGAUGAUCGGCCGCAUUGGGACUGAGACACGGCCCAAACGCCUACGGGAGGCAGCAGUAGGGAUUCUUCGGCAAGGGACGAAAGACUGACCGAGCAGCGCCGCGUGAGUGAGGAAGGUUGUCGGAUCGUAAAACUCGGUUGGUAGAGAAGAACGUUGGUGAGAGUGGAAAGCUCAUCAAGUGACGGUAACUACCCAGAAAGGGACGGCUAACUACGUG